GACAGAGGGUGCAAACGUUGCUCGGAAUCACUGGGCGUAAAGGGCGUGUAGGCGGGAAGGAAAGUCAGAUGUGAAAUCCCCAGGCUCAACCUGGGAACUGCAUUUGAAACUCCCUUUCUUGAGUACCGGAGAGGAAAGUGGAAUUCCUGGUGUAGAGGUGAAAUUCGUAGAUAUCAGGAGGAACACCAGUGGCGAAGGCGGCUUUCUGGACGGUAACUGACGCUGAGACGCGAAAGCUAGGGGAGCGAACGGG
RNAcentral lists this ribosomal RNA (253 nucleotides) under uncultured bacterium. RNAcentral's name for it is "partial 16S ribosomal RNA". It matches the Rfam family "Bacterial small subunit ribosomal RNA", at positions 524 to 776 of the family's 1533-position model. The record is from RNAcentral.